This 1384-nucleotide ribosomal RNA is filed under the name uncultured bacterium. RNAcentral's name for it is "16S ribosomal RNA". It matches the Rfam family "Bacterial small subunit ribosomal RNA". The record is from RNAcentral.
AGAGUUUGAUCCUGGCUCAGGAUGAACGCUGGCGGCGUGCUUAACACAUGCAAGUCGAGCGAAGCACUCGGCCUUGAAUCUUCGGAGGAAAGGCGGUUUGACUGAGCGGCGGACGGGUGAGUAACGCGUGGGCAACCUGCCCCAUACGGGGGGAUAACAGUUAGAAAUGACUGCUAAUACCGCAUAAGACCGCGGUGCCGCAUGGCACAGCGGUAAAAACUCCGGUGGUAUGGGAUGGGCCCGCGUCUGAUUAGCUAGUUGGCGGGGUAACGGCCCACCAAGGCGACGAUCAGUAGCCGACCUGAGAGGGCGACCGGCCACAUUGGGACUGAGACACGGCCCAAACUCCUACGGUAGGCAGCAGUGGGGAAUAUUGCACAAUGGGGGAAACCCUGAUGCAGCGACGCCGCGUGAGCGAUGAAGUAUUUCGGUAUGUAAAGCUCUAUCAGCAGGGAAGAAGAUGACGGUACCUGACUAAGAAGCCCCGGCUAACUACGUGCCAGCAGCCGCGGUAAUACGUAGGGGGCAAGCGUUAUCCGGAUUUACUGGGUGUAAAGGGAGCGUAGACGGCGAUGCAAGCCAGAUGUGAAAGCCCGGGGCUCAACCCCGGGACUGCAUUUGGAACUGUGUGGCUGGAGUGUCGGAGAGGCAGGCGGAAUUCCUAGUGUAGCGGUGAAAUGCGUAGAUAUUAGGAGGAACACCAGUGGCGAAGGCGGCCUGCUGGACGAUGACUGACGUUGAGGCUCGAAAGCGUGGAGAGCAAACAGGAUUAGAUACCCUGGUAGUCCACGCCGUAAACGAUGACUGCUAGGUGUCGGGCGGCAAAGCCGUUCGGUGCCGCAGCAAACGCAAUAAGCAGUCCACCUGGGGAGUACGUUCGCAAGAAUGAAACUCAAAGGAAUUGACGGGGACCCGCACAAGCGGUGGAGCAUGUGGUUUAAUUCGAAGCAACGCGAAGAACCUUACCUGGCCUUGACAUCCCGAUGACCGUCCAGUAACGUGGACCUCCCUUCGGGGCAUCGGAGACAGGUGGUGCAUGGUUGUCGUCAGCUCGUGUCGUGAGAUGUUGGGUUAAGUCCCGCAACGAGCGCAACCCUUGUCAUUAGUUGCUACGCAAGAGCACUCUAAUGAGACUGCCGUUGACAAAACGGAGGAAGGUGGGGACGACGUCAAAUCAUCAUGCCCCUUAUGACCUGGGCUACACACGUACUACAAUGGGUGGUACAGAGGGCAGCCAAGUCGUGAGGCGGAGCUAAUCCCUUAAAGCCAUUCUCAGUUCGGAUUGUAGGCUGAAACUCGCCUACAUGAAGCUGGAGUUACUAGUAAUCGCAGAUCAGAAUGCUGCGGUGAAUGCGUUCCCGGGUCUUGCACACACCGCCCGUCA